RNAcentral lists this ribosomal RNA (384 nucleotides) under uncultured bacterium. Its description in RNAcentral is "bacterial SSU rRNA". It matches the Rfam family "Bacterial small subunit ribosomal RNA", at positions 30 to 416 of the family's 1533-position model. The record is from RNAcentral.
AUUGAACGCUGGCGGCAUGCCCUACACAUGCAAGUCGAACGGUAACGGGCCUUCGGGUGCCGACGAGUGGCGAACGGGUGAGUAAUGCAUCGGAACGUACCUUUCAGUGGGGGAUAACGUAGCGAAAGUUACGCUAAUACCGCAUAUUCUGUGAGCAGGAAAGCAGGGGAUCGCAAGACCUUGUGCUGAUUGAGCGGCCGAUGUCAGAUUAGCUAGUUGGUGAGGUAAAGGCUCACCAAGGCGACGAUCUGUAGCGGGUCUGAGAGGAUGAUCCGCCACACUGGAACUGAGACACGGUCCAGACCCCUACGGGAGGCAGCAGUGGGGAAUUUUGGACAAUGGGGGCAACCCUGAUCCAGCCAUGCCGCGUGAGUGAAGAAGGCC